This 74-nucleotide transfer RNA is filed under the name Lachnospiraceae bacterium. RNAcentral's name for it is "tRNA-Arg". It matches the Rfam family "tRNA". Rfam says of the family: Transfer RNA (tRNA) molecules are approximately 80 nucleotides in length. Lineage: Bacteria; Bacillati; Bacillota; Clostridia; Lachnospirales; Lachnospiraceae. The record is from RNAcentral.
GUGUUCGUAGCUCAGUUGGAUAGAGCAACGGCCUUCUAAGCCGUGGGUCCGGGGUUCGAAUCCCCGCGAGCACA